UUAAAACUAAACCAACCUAAAGCAUAAUUAGCCAACUAAUCAAAGAUUAGUGAGAUUACUCACCAAAUUGCGCGCAAAUCCGAUCAAUCCGACGGCGGCGACGCGAGGAACGAUUGUCCCCAAAGCACGGCUCGGGUUCGGGGCCCGGAAACGGCCCAAAACGGCCCACGAACAGCUGGAUACCCACUCCGUGGGUUUGCUGGUUCGGCCGCAAAACAGCAAGAAAGAGAGAGGGUUGGGGGCGGCAAGAGGUCGGGAGAGCGGGUGGUGGCUUGGCGAGGCCGAGCGGUGGCCCACGGUGGCCGGAGGUGGCCGGAUCGUGGCCGAACGGAGCUGGACAGAGGAUGGGCAGCAGCUGGAUCGUGCGGGGAAGCACGCCUGGCGCGAGGGAUGGCCGGCAAAACGCGCGGCGUUGUGCGGGCGGCGUCGCGGGCGAUUCGGCUCCGGUGCGGCGGCGGGACGGGCGACGGUGGUCCUCGACGAGCUGCUGCUCUUCUUUGCCGGUUUAGGUCUGGUUCGCACAAAGAAGAACGAAGAAGAAGAAGAAGGUCACAUGGGAUGAGGGAGAAGAGAGAGGAGAGAGAAGAAGAGAUAAGAGAGAAAAGAGAGAGAGAAGACAAGUUUGACUAGUCAAAUGGAGAGAAAGAGAAGCCAAAUUGAAUUUGGCAAGGGGUAGGCGGUCGGUGGGGAGGGUGUCCGCACGAAGGGGGGAAGGGGAGAGGAGAGAGGAGAGAGAAAAAGAGAGAAAAGGGAGAGAGAGAGAAAAGAAAUUCAAAAAUCAUAUUAUUCUUAUUUUUCUUUUCUCUUCCCAUUUCUAUUUUCUUUUUGGUCUUCAAUUUUUCCUCCGAUAAUUUCUUUCUUGAAAUUUCGGACUCGUCAAUAAAUUGACGAGCGAUGAGACAGGAUCCUAAUUAUCCAGUCAAAUUAAAACCCGAAAAUCUGGAUGUCACAACUCUUCCCCUCUUAUAAAAAUUUCGUCCUCGAAAUUUAAACCUUUACCAAUCAUAAACGAAAGGUGGGGGUACAACUGUCUCAUCGAGUCUCACUUUUUCCACGCUGAUCAUUCAGUCUUGUGGCGUUGUCUAACCACUUUGACCAAGGAGAUCAUCUUUGCAUACAAACUCUGAUCUUUUUGAACUAACAACUGAACUGAGCUCCUCACAUAAGACAUUAUGUCAUUCACAUCUGAUCUCUUUUUCUCGACUCCCUAAUAAACCUUCGAACCUCAACGAUUCAAAAUUUCUGACAGUUCUGAGCAAUCUUUACUCUGACACUAAUCUAACCAUUGCAAAUAAUGAUCACUGAGCUGACUCUGGACUUGCGAUUUUCUGAUUUCUGAUCUCAUCUCAACCGACUGAAAUCCUGUACACUCUGCUUUGCACUGAUUAAAAAGAAACUAUCUGACUGAUCUGUUGAAACUAGGAAUCUCUGGUCAAGAUCUGAUAUAACUCUGGCACUGAUCUUAGCAACUGUAAUCACUGACUACUGUACUGUCUUUGGCCUGAAAUCUUCUUCACUUCCUUUUUACCACUGAAAUUCUGUACCAUCUGCUAUACACUGCUUAAUAAAGAAUCCUCUGAAAACUCUACCGAAUUUAUAAUCUCUGAUUUAGAUUCGAAAUAUAAUUCAUCCUCGACACUCCAUGCCGGCGAAUUAUCUAAUGCACACACACUUCGGUAUACCCACUCUAUAACCAGAUAAGAUCUUCAGUUUCUGAAAUCGAACUUAGAUUGGCGGUUAAUUUCAUUCCGACACGCUUUUAGUGUGACCUAGGCUACUGGGUAGUGUUCAGAGCUUUUUAGGACAAAUGACCCGUGGUCGAUUUUCUUCGAGCCACAAUGAACCCACUAGACACAUUAGCGACUCUCGAUUAUCGUGAAAAUCUCAAAGGUUCAAAUACGGACACAGGGUACCAAAACGACAGUAAAAUCAAAUUAGUGUCAGUCGACGAGAGUUUUCCAAUUUAGUGGGGUCACCCACGAUUGGUCAUUUAUCUUAGUCGAGCCAACCUAUCUCCGAUCUUAAUUCGAUUUUUAACUGUGCCGUAAUGAUCUCUAAAGAUGAGCACGGUCGAGAAGUCGAUCAUUGGUCGAAUUCUCAAGUCUAUUUGCCUUAAGGUCCUUAAUAACUCACCCAGCUAGUCUAGUUAUCUCCUAAGUGGCCAACUCAGAGAAAAACACUGUAAUCGCGUCGGUGAAAUGCCCAAGUUAUCUAAUCGAAAUCAAAGCCCGAAAUCUGGAUCACACACUCAAAACAAGAUAUAUUCGUACUGUACCAAAGUGGACUAACUCCAUCUAUCGAUCAACCACUAUUCUUAAUUGGUAUCAGUAAUCCCCUGAAUCCUUAGUAAGCCAUAUAUUUCCCUUUCCACUUGGGACUCUCAAGUGAUGGUAAAAAUUCUCCCGGUUCGCAUUACCGAGCUUCCACUUAUUGACACCUCUGACACUUGCAACCUGCUUGGCGAUAUCUACCUUCAUAUCGGCCUACCAAUCUAGCUGACAUCGAUUCUGACUUACUUGCCCCAUCUGGUCAAAACUGUGAUAUUAUAGUGAACUUCUGACAAGAUCUUUUCCCUAAGUGCUACACUGUCAAGUGCACUCAAUUCCUCAUGGAACCCGAACGUUCCAUCCUCAGAAGUUUCAAAGUUAGAUUCUUUCUUGCCAGUAUCCUCUUAUAAGAUCUCCUGAACAUCUCUGUCUGUCAACUAGGCGCCGAUUCUAACUUGAACAUUUGGUUCAAUUUUGAGGGCGGCUAUAAAAUUUAAAAGGUAGCCUACCUCAAAUUUGAAAACCAAAUUUCGAACCCUUUUUAAGUAAAGUUUAUACUUUAGCCAGCCUAUGUAUAAUCGAAGACUCUCGGCUCAACACAUAAAUUACUUCUUUCAUUCUCCCAAGAUAAUACCAGAUAACAUCAUUAUAGUUCUGCCAAAAUUCUGAUUCACGACACUGUUUCAUGUUCAACUUAUUGGGUCUCAACUGGCGGGACGGUUAUACAACAAUCUUCUCAUGUUGUAUCAAUACAUACCCAGUCGUUGACAAGACACAUCACUAAAGGUUUCAUGCUUUCCAGAGCCAAAUAAAAGUUUAGCACAAGUGCGGUAGCCUGAUCUUACUGAAGCUUUGGAAAUUAUCCUCGUACUUGUCUAUGCCAAUGAAUUUCUCUUCUUUCUCAAGAGGUCAAGCCCAUGAUGAUAUUGAUGCUGAAAAUUCUUUCACAAACCUUCCGUAGUAAUCUGUCAAAUCCCCACAACUUCUAAUCUCUGACAUUGAUGUCGGUCUCGGUCCAUUAACAACUGAUUCGAUCUUGGCUGGGUCCAUGAAGAUUCCUUUGCUUGUAACCACACGACCAUUCUUAGGGGCAUCUCGUGAUUCUCAACACUUAAUGAACACCCUAUAAUGUCGCUACACCACACGAUCACCAUUGAUCUAGAUAUUCUUUGAACACUCGAUUUGUCAAAUCUAUGACAGCGACUGGAGCGUUUGUCAAAUCAAAUGGCUUUACAUUCUUCUCACAAGGACAAAAUCAAGUGCGAAAUGCCGUCUUCAGUAUAACCUCCUUCCUGGUUCUCAACUGACAAUAACCUGUCCUCAAGUCGAUCCUUGUAGACAUCCACACUCUUUAUAACAAGUCGCCCAAUUCGUCGAUCUUUGACAAUGAACACUUAUCAUUGAUUGUCACUUGAUUGGGUCGACUAUAGUUGAUGCAUAAUUGCAACAAACCAUCUUUCUUUCUCUUUUCACAAAACUAAUGAUCCCUAAAGUGAUGCACUGAUAUGCAUGAAUUCAUCAUUCAUCAAUCCUCACAUCUGAACCAUUGGUUCUAUCAAUUCAAACAACAACAACCGGUAAGGACUUUUAGAGAAUGGUUUAGUUCCAGAUGUUAACUUGAUCGUAAUUCUAUCUCUUUCUCUGGCAACGGUCUGACCACUUUUCUGGCAACACUUCCAAGAAUUCUUGGACAACUAAGGAGUUCUCAAUUUUUUUUUUUCCAAUCUGUCUUAUCUAAGAUCAUUGCUCACUAAUCUCAAUAACUUAUGUCUGACAACCAGGUUACCUCAAGUGACGAGAUCAAAGAAGUCAAGGACCCUUCUCAACUCUCAAUAAAACUCGGUACUUCUACAUGCUCCUGGAAUAAGCUGGGUUACUCUACCAUAACAAUUCAUCACCAUAUAAUGCUCAAGAACCAAUUCUUUCCACACUUGACAAAUAAGUCAUACACCAACAGCCAAUCAAGUAUAAUUCUAGUCAAUGGUUCUUUUCCUAUAGCCUUAACAAACAACUGAAAUUCCACACUUGCAAUCCCAACAUUCUCUGGCACUAUUUUGAUAAAAUCACCUCAAAAUAUUCUUUCAUUGAAUAAGGCAUAGUCGGUUCCGUUCCUGUUCCUUUUGCCAUCUUGCUGGUGUUCUAACGGUAGUAACAGUGUUGGUGUUCUCCUUAAACCCCAACCGAUAGUCCUUCACUUGAUGGCCGUGCUCACUACUAUCAAAGCAUGUUCUAGUCAUUCUCGAACACAGGAUUAAUCCAUGCAUUCCUUCCAUACUUUCGGCACUCAUCAGGUGAGUCUUCUAUCUCCUGCCAAGUGACAGCACACACUCUUUCUGGUUGUCCCAUCAGUCUGCUAGAACCGCUCUCGACUUCGAUCUUUUCCCUGACCGAUUUCCAUUUCUGCCUGAACUGGAUCUGUACCUUGACUUGGAAGCGAUGGUUCGAUCCCAGAUCAUAUCCCCACUCUGGAUCUCAACAGGGUAGCAACAACAGCAACAACUUGAUUCUGACCGUACAGGCUCAUCCAGAUCCCAAGAAAUACUUGCAUCAGAACGAUCCUAUCGAGCUUAGGAUCAUUCGACGCUGCUACACUAGUACCAACCUACAGUGGUACUCUUACACUCGAGCUGGCUAGAGCCAACACUCUGCCACAACCACCUCGGGUACCGACCUUUGUCAGUGCAUUAUCCCGAGUCACAGAGGACAUUGUCCUCUUACUAGGAGUUCUCAGCUCCUGCUCGCUCAUGGUUCAGUCUUUACACUAAAACCCGACUUCCCAAAUCCACACUGGAUUAGAAGAUGAGCGAUCCUCACACGACAAUCAAUUCUAGCAUCCAGCUAACACAGACAUGCACCAGUAUGAAUUUAAAGGCCUUGCCUACUAACUAUCCCAUGGUCAACGCUCCUUAUCACUCCAAUCUUCAACUUCGCUCUGAUACCACUUAAACAGGAUGUCACGCCUCGAUCCUCGAGCACGCACACAUCCUUCUCACUUGGUCGAUUUUAUAAUGCGAUAUCCCAGGACAAGUAUCGCCGACCCUUUAGUUUAUUAAGCACAUGCGGAAGCAGUUAAAAUCCCCAGACAAUAAAACGAUGGGAUAGAAAAACAGGGCCAUAUUUUUCAUAUUGAAAUUUAUAACCAAACUUUUAUACAAAACAAAAACCACUUCAAAACUAUUCACAUCAAAAUGGAGAUCUCAAAAGAAGAUAGGAUCUCAAUCCAUCCAGGCCAUACUCAAGGCCCAUCUCGGUAUUAUCUUCUUCUUUCAAAAUCCUUCCCUUCAAGUUUCACCUCCAAGAUCUCCUUCCCAGACUUCUCCUCCUCAGCUCCUUAUCGGGGUCCUGAAAUGUUUUUCCCCAAACUGGGAUGAGACUACGUCUCAGCGAGUUCUACCCCACUAAGCCCGAUUAGUAAACCAUUAUACUAUAGGCUGCCUAAACACGCACAGGGCAGAAGACGUACCUUGGCAUCAGAUCCCACCUGCAAGUCAGUACAAUUCAUAAUAGGCACACAAGCAAUCAUAUUAUCAAUCGAAGCAUCGAUCAAAUCGACCUAGUCGAUUACAAGCCAAUAAGACCACUCACGGUCAUUUCCAAUCAAUCAAUCAAUUCACAACAUCGAAUCAAAGCAAUGAUCAAUCGACCACGUCGAUUACAUGUCAGCUUGACCAUUUCCCGGUCAUUCAAGCUAUUGCUAUUCAGACUCAAGUAACAAAACCAAUAACCGAGCCACGUGCAUUCUCCGAGGUAAUGCAUUACUUUACCGAGCCCACGUGCCCUUUAAUGCCAAAUGUUCUCAUUGGGACCACGUGCAUUCUCCGAGGUAAUGCAUUACUUUACCGAGCCCACGUGCCCUUUAAUGCUAAAUGUACUCAUUGGGACCACGUGCAUUCUCCGAGGCGAUGCAUCAAGUCACCGAGCCCACGUGUCCUUUUAGAUGCCAAAUAUACUCAUUGGGACCACGUGCAUUCUCCGAGGCGAUGCAUCAAGUCACCGAGCCCACGUGUCCUUUUAGAUGCCAAAUGUUCUCUUUGAGACCACGUGCAUUCUCCGAGGUAAUGCAUCAAAUUACCGAGCCCACGUGUCUCUUUUAGGAUGCCACACUUAAUCACCGAGCCACAUGCAUUCUCCAAGGCGACAUACUUCGUCACCGAGCCAUGUGCAUUCUCCGAGGUGAUAUAUCUAAUCAUCAAGCUCCGUGCAUUCUCCAAAGUGAAAUACCAAAUCACCGAGCCGCGUGCCUUUCAUGAUGAUUCAUCCCAUUUCUAAAGUAAUUAUCCACAAUUAAAUCUUUUCAGCACAAAUUAAAGCUCAAUUAAAUAAACGGAUGGCGCCACGACGAUCAGCACGAGAUUUCGGUCGUCGGCCAUCUCCAAUUUAAUUUCCGAAAAAUAAAUAAAUAAAUAAUUAAUUUCGAAAAUUAAUUAUUAAAUAUUAAAGAUUCCGUUUAGCUCAAAUUAAGGUCCAAUUAAAUAAACGGACUUCACCACGAUCAUCAGCAUAAUUUUCCGGUCACGGGCCAUCUCAGUUGAAUUUUCAGGAAAUAAAUAAUUAAUUAAUUAAUUUCGAAAAUUAUAUAAUUAAUAUUAAAAUUCAAUUUAGCUCAAAAUAAAGCCCGAUUAAAUAAACAGACUUCACCACAGUCAUCCGCAUAAUAUUCCGGCUCCAGACCAUCUCCCUUGAAUUUUCGGAAAAUAAAUAAUUAUUUAAUUUAAUUCCGAAAAUUAAUAUUUAAAUGCCCAAAAAUCUCACUUAGGCCCGAAUCAUCAAAUUGAAGCUCAAUUAGAGGUCCGAAAAUUCCCGAGACAUUCCCAAUAAUUAGUAGACCACGUCUACUUAUUAAUUGCACAAUCAAUUUAUCUAAAUCACAUCACAAUUGACUAAUAAUUGCUAAUUAAUUCUAAUCUAACAACCUAAACAUAAUUAAUUAAAACUAAACCAACCUAAAGCAUAAUUAGCCAACUAAUCAAAGAUUAGUGAGAUUACUCACCAAAUUGCGCGCAAAUCCGAUCAAUCCGACGGCGGCGACGCGAGGAACGAUUGUCCCCAAAGCACGGCUCGGGUUCGGGGCCCGGAAACGGCCCAAAACGGCCCACGAACAGCUGGAUACCCACUCCGUGGGUUUGCUGGUUCGGCCGCAAAACAGCAAGAAAGAGAGAGGGUUGGGGGCGGCAAGAGGUCGGGAGAGCGGGUGGUGGCUUGGCGAGGCCGAGCGGUGGCCCACGGUGGCCGGAGGUGGCCGGAUCGUGGCCGAACGGAGCUGGACAGAGGAUGGGCAGCAGCUGGAUCGUGCGGGGAAGCACGCCUGGCGCGAGGGAUGGCCGGCAGAACGCGCGGCGUUGUGCGGGCGGCGUCGCGGGCGAUUCGGCUCCGGUGCGGCGGCGGGACGGGCGACGGUGGUCCUCGACGAGCUGCUGCUCUUCUUUGCCGGUUUAGGUCUGGUUCGCACAAAGAAGAACGAAGAAGAAGAAGAAGGUCACGUGGGAUGAGGGAGAAGAGAGAGGAGAGAGAAGAAGAGAUAAGAGAG
This 7794-nucleotide long non-coding RNA is filed under the name Eucalyptus grandis. RNAcentral describes it as "long non-coding RNA (EGRA_LNC005919)". The record is from RNAcentral. Lineage: Eukaryota; Viridiplantae; Streptophyta; Magnoliopsida; Myrtales; Myrtaceae.